GACGAACGCUGGCGGCGUGCCUAAUACAUGCAAGUAGAACGCUGAAGGAGGAGCUUGCUUCUCUGGAUGAGUUGCGAACGGGUGAGUAACGCGUAGGUAACCUGCCUGGUAGCGGGGGAUAACUCUUGGAAACGAUAGCUAAUACCGCAUAAUAGUAGAUGUUGCAUGACAUUUGCUUAAAAGGUGCAAUUGCAUCACUACCAGAUGGACCUGCGUUGUAUUAGUUAGUUGGUGGGGUAACGGCUCACCAAGGCGACGAUACAUAGCCGACCUGGGAGGGGGGACGGCCACAAUGGGACUGAGGCACGGCCCAGACUCCUACGGGAAGCAGCCGUAGGGAAUCUUCCGCAAUGGACGGAAGGCUGACCGAGCAACGCCGCGUGAGUGAAGAAGGUUUUCGGAUCGUAAAGCUCUGUUGUAAGAGAAGAACGAGUGUGGGAGUGGAAAGUUCACACUUUGACGGUAUCUUACCAGAAAGGGACGGCUAACUACGUG
Molecule: ribosomal RNA, 495 nt
Filed under: uncultured bacterium
Lineage: Bacteria
Description: partial 16S ribosomal RNA
Rfam family: Bacterial small subunit ribosomal RNA
Source: RNAcentral